CCUACGGGACGCACCAGUGGGGAAUAUUGCACAAUGGGCGCAAGCCUGAUGCAGCCAUGCCGCGUGUAUGAAGAAGGCCUUCGGGUUGUAAAGUACUUUCAGCGGGGAGGAAGGUGUUGUGGUUAAUAACCACAGCAAUUGACGUUACCCGCAGAAGAAGCACCGGCUAACUCCGUGCCAGCAGCCGCAGUAAUACGGAGGGUGCAAGCGUUAAUCGGAAUUACUGGGCGUAAAGCGCACGCAGGCGGUCUGCCAAGUCAGAUGUGAAAUCCCCGGGCUCAACCUGGGAACUGCAUCUGAUACUGGCAAGCUUGAGUCUCGUAGAGGGGGGUAGAAUUCCAGGUGUAGCGGUGAAAUGCGUAGAGAUCUGGAGGAAUACCGGUGGCGAAGGCGGCCCCCUGGACAAAGACUGACGCUCAGGUGCGAAAGCGUGGGGAGCAAACAGGAUUAGAUACCCUUGUAGU
Molecule: ribosomal RNA, 464 nt
Filed under: uncultured bacterium
Lineage: Bacteria
Description: bacterial SSU rRNA
Rfam family: Bacterial small subunit ribosomal RNA
Source: RNAcentral